AUGCUAUUAGCUCAGUUGGAUAGAGCGAUCCCUUCCUAAGGAUAGGUCACAAGUUCAAUUCUUGUAUGGCACGCCU
RNAcentral lists this transfer RNA (76 nucleotides) under Acinetobacter bouvetii. RNAcentral describes it as "tRNA-Arg". It matches the Rfam family "tRNA". Rfam says of the family: Transfer RNA (tRNA) molecules are approximately 80 nucleotides in length. The record is from RNAcentral. Lineage: Bacteria; Pseudomonadati; Pseudomonadota; Gammaproteobacteria; Moraxellales; Moraxellaceae.